This is a long non-coding RNA of Leopardus geoffroyi (Geoffroy's cat), 459 nucleotides long. RefSeq lists it as uncharacterized. The record is from RefSeq and is a predicted model, not a curated record. The transcript has 2 exons. Lineage: Eukaryota; Metazoa; Chordata; Mammalia; Carnivora; Felidae.
CCACCUCCCACCCCCAAUCUCUGAACUGCGAUGCACCGCUUGCUCUCCGUCCUCUAUUAAGUUUUCCCUCCCCUCAGCUUCUCCCUUAGGCGCCGUGACCAGUAACCGUCCAGGAAGUACUCCCCCGCCCAUCCCGAUUCCGAGGACCCGAGCCCUAGAGCGGCCUAGCCGGGUGGAUCCGGAGCUUCCUACCUCUCGCUCUCUUUCCACCCACUAUCCGUGCACACCCCUUUGACAGCCAAGACCUUGCGGAGAGCCAGAGACCGGUCCCCUGGGGCAGACCACUGCCGACUCACGGAGCUUGGGGCCAACGCGCGAGCAAGGAUCCGGCCCCGGGAGCCUGCUCAGGGAUCCAAGAGCAUGGUCAACUGGCAAGACAGAUAAAGAUACUGAAGAGAGAGGACCUCUGAUAAUGACUUCACAAUUUCCUUGGCCCUAAGGAAACAAUUCCAAAAGAAG